Molecule: ribosomal RNA, 244 nt
Filed under: uncultured bacterium
Lineage: Bacteria
Description: partial 16S ribosomal RNA
Rfam family: Bacterial small subunit ribosomal RNA
Source: RNAcentral
UGAGUUGCGAACGGGUGAGUAACGCGUAGGUAACCUGCCUGGUAGCGGGGGAUAACUAUUGGAAACGACUGCUAAUACCGCAUAAGCCCACGACCCGGCAUCGGGAAGAGGGAAAAGGAGCAAUCCGCUUUGAGAUGGCCUCGCGUCCGAUUAGCUAGUUGGUGAGGUAACGGCCCACCAAGGCAACGAUCGGUAGCCGGACUGAGAGGUUGAACGGCCACAUUGGGACUGAGACACGGCCCAG